RNAcentral lists this ribosomal RNA (279 nucleotides) under uncultured bacterium. Its description in RNAcentral is "partial 16S ribosomal RNA". It matches the Rfam family "Bacterial small subunit ribosomal RNA", at positions 506 to 784 of the family's 1533-position model. The record is from RNAcentral.
UGCCAGCAGCCGCGGUAAGACGGAGGGGGCUAGUGUUAUUCGGAAUGACUGGGCGUAAAGGGCAUGUAGGCGGUAAAUUAAGUUGGAAGUGAAAUCCCAAAGCUUAACUUUGGAAGUGUUUUCAAAACUGGUUUACUUGAGUUCGAUAGAGGAUAGUGGAAUUUCUAGUGUAGAGAUAGAAUUCAUAAAUAUUAGAAGGAACACCAGUGGCGAAGGCGACUAUCUGGAUCGAUACUGACGCUGAGAUGCGAAAGCAUGGGGAGCAAACAGGAUUAGAUA